GCGAGGAUGGCGGAAUCUGGCAGACGCACUGGAUUUAGGAUCCAGUGGAUAAAAUCCGUGGGGGUUCAACUCCCCCUCCUCGCA
This 84-nucleotide transfer RNA is filed under the name Candidatus Latescibacterota bacterium. RNAcentral describes it as "Latescibacterota bacterium tRNA". It matches the Rfam family "tRNA". From Rfam's summary of the family: Transfer RNA (tRNA) molecules are approximately 80 nucleotides in length. Lineage: Bacteria; Pseudomonadati; Candidatus Latescibacterota. The record is from Rfam by way of RNAcentral.